CAAGCGUUGUUCGGAAUUACUGGGCGUAAAGGGCUCGUAGGUGGCCAACUAAGUCAGACGUGAAAUCCCUCAGCUUAACUGGGGAACUGCGUCUGAUACUGGAUGGCUUGAGUUUGGGAGAGGGAUGCGGAAUUCCAGGUGUAGCGGUGAAAUGCGUAGAUAUCUGGAGGAACACCGGUGGCGAAGGCGGCAUCCUGGACCAACACUGACACUGAGGAGCGAAAGCUAGGGGAGCAAACGGG
This 242-nucleotide ribosomal RNA is filed under the name uncultured bacterium. RNAcentral's name for it is "partial 16S ribosomal RNA". It matches the Rfam family "Bacterial small subunit ribosomal RNA", at positions 535 to 776 of the family's 1533-position model. The record is from RNAcentral.